Molecule: ribosomal RNA, 301 nt
Filed under: uncultured bacterium
Lineage: Bacteria
Description: partial 16S ribosomal RNA
Rfam family: Bacterial small subunit ribosomal RNA
Source: RNAcentral
CAGCCGCCGCGGUAAUACGGAGGGUGCAAGCGUUAAUCGGAAUUACUGGGCGUAAAGCGCACGCAGGCGGUUUGUUAAGUCAGAUGUGAAAUCCCCGAGCUUAACUUGGGAACUGCAUUUGAAACUGGCAAGCUAGAGUCUUGUAGAGGGGGGUAGAAUUCCAGGUGUAGCGGUGAAAUGCGUAGAGAUCUGGAGGAAUACCGGUGGCGAAGGCGGCCCCCUGGACAAAGACUGACGCUCAGGUGCGAAAGCGUGGGGAGCAAACAGGAUUAGAUACCCCGGUAGUCCUUGUCUCUUAUAC